UGAGAUUUCUCUUUGCUGUUGAAACUUUCCAGCAUUUGAAACUCUGGCCGAAAGUCCUCCUUGAGCUUCUCCACAUCUCAACUAGCUUCCUUCCAAUGGAAGGUCGGCUGAGCUAGUCUCCAUCUCCAUCUAGAGCUCUUCAAACCAUCAUCUACACUACUGAAAUCAUCCUUCCGCUGCUGCCAAGCUAUAAGCAAAUUCAUCCGCUGUUUGCUACCUUUGAAUCAUCGCUGCCAACUCUGGUUUCGCAACUUCCGCUGCAUUCCAUCCAUCCUACUUGUUGGAGCAUCGUCAUCAAUUGAUAUUCAGAGCCUAGGUUGCUCACGGUGUUGUGGUUGUUCAAGCUAAGUUCACUUUUCUUUGUUUCAUAUUGUCAUAAUCAUUCCAUUCGUGUUCUCUGUUUUUCUGUGCGCACUGUUUUAUUCAAUUUUCACUUCCAGUAGAUUCUGCUAUAUGAAUGUCUUUGUUCCAGCUUUUAAUUGUUUUAUUUUAAUCAUUUUAAUCGGUCCACUUCCUUACUUUGAGUCUUUAAUUUUUAAAUCUGAUCCUGUUAUGUAAGUUGCUUUAACUUGUCCAGAAUUUUCAGUUGAAACUGUGAUUGGAUAAAACUGUCUCUAAAUUGAACUUUCGGUAGAUGCACACAAAAAUGAGCAAUGAUUUAUGAGCUUAGUGCAUCUUGAAGUCAAUAACCGUGUAGUACCAGUAGAAUCACUAAGACAGAAUCUGUUUCAAAUGGUUGAAUGUGAUGCAUCGUGUGGAGUGUGUUUCUGAUAUUAUUCGAUGAAUUGCAAUAUUGUGUAAGCAUACCAAAUAAACAGUGAUUUGUUUAAGAGAAAUCAAUAUGGUUGCAUCACAUUGCAGAGUUCAAAAUUUUCUUGCAUCGCAGCUUGGCCGAACUGCACCUUUUGUUUGAGUUUUCUUUUAAUUUUUUUAAUCUGUCCAGCAUAGCACUCUCAUAUGGACAUCUUUUAAACCAAUUCUAGAGUCUCAUUCUAGUUGUAUUUUCUAAUCUGAAGUGAUACAAACUGAUUACAGAUCAUUUUGAAUCCAAUGUUGAGAUUUGGUUGGUAAUUUGGCAUCAUUUUAGUGAAUAAUAGCAAUUGAUACUGCCAAAUUUUGGUAUACAUGUUUCUUUCCACUGCUGGUUGAUGAAUCAAGUUUUAAAUGGUAAACUAAAGUUGCUCAAAUCAUAAAAUUGAUUGUUCAAACUGGUUUGUGUCAAUUUGCCAUCUCAACCAUCAAUUUUCAACAUAUUUCAUUGAGUAAGUUGCAGAAAUUUCUGUCUAAUUGUGUGGCUGUGUUAUAUGCAUCAAAAUUCACUUCUAAUUUGCAGCAAAAGCUUGGUGUAGUGAAAUAAAAGAGUGUACAUUUUGUAUUAUGAAAAGAAUUGUAUUGCAAAAAGCAAACAGCACCAGUGCCGUAUACAUAGUUACCAAAUUCUGAUGCAUAUUUCAGUUUCUCUCUUAGGCAUUUUAUCAAAUACAUUGGCCUAGUUAAAAUUGAGUUCGAAUUUGGCCAAUUCUGCAGCUUACAAUUGUUUCUUAUUUUGUUAAUCCACUCUAGAACCAUUCCUAAGUUCACUUUGAGUGCCACCUUUCUUUUAAUACCGUUUAAUUUCUUGCUUGUCAUUGCUUGAAAGUCUACACAUAAGUUGUUUGAUAUUAUUACAGCUGUGCAUCUGGUUUAGCAGAUUUUACAGCAGCAACAACUGCAUUUGUGCGGUUUCAUAACUCGGUUUUGGUGGUAUAUGUGAGUUCUAGAUUGGUGCAGAGACGAGAUUCAGCUGUCCUUAUCAUUGGUAGCAUCUUAGGAAGAAGUUUGAGAGAGGAGAAGUCUAGGUGGAGAACUAUAUUCGGUGCACAAUUCACGUGAACCUACAUUUUGCAAAUCUGCAUAAUGCUUCCAGCACAAUGCAACUCCACCCGCAGUUGAGAGUUUAGUGUGAAUUAAGCAAAUUCACUUAUUGUUUCCGAGAGACCAAAGCUGCACACAUCAUCCAAUUUCCAUUUUUUUGUGAGAAACCAAAAACUGUUUGCCAAUAUUGUUAAUAAUUUUGAUUCAUUCAUUGAAACUCACAUGGUCAAUUGAGUAUUGGAUCAAAAUCUGCCAUUGAGAUGGAUGGAAAGCAAAGAUUUUGGUGAAAGAAAGGAGAAAGCAAGAGGGAUAUGCUCAAGAUUGGUUCAAGUAUGGAAAUGGGGAUCAAGUGGGGUAUAAAUAGGCUCAAGAAUGCUCCCCAACGUUCAGAUUUUGGGAUUUUGCCUAUUAAUAGCCGUUGGCAACGGCUAGUUUAAUGAAAACUGCAACAUUUUUCGAAAAAAAACAGUCUGGAGCGCAUUUAAUCGAUUAAAUUGGAUUUUAAUCGAUUAAGUAAUCGAUUAAUACUUGGAUUAAUCGAUUAAACCAUUCGUAAAUGUAUAGGUAACGCUUUUAAUCGAUUUACGCACAGAUUAAACACGUUAAGCAAUGAAAAUUGCAAUAUUAAGCCCAAAAACGCCUAUUUUACUAUUUCUAAUAUGCCUAUAUCUCUUCUAAGCUCAAAAAAUCUAUCCUUAGGCAAUACUUAGGUGAAAAUAUCCGCUAGUUGAUGCUUAGAAUCUAUGAAUUCCAUUUCACAAUCAACUUUUUGGACAUGGUCUCUAAUGAAGUGAUGCCUAAUUUCUAUAUGCUUGGUUCUAGAAUGCAUGAUAGGAUUUUUGGUAAGUUUUAUAGCACUUGUAUUAUCACACUUAAGCGGAAUAUGAUCUAAAUGAAUAUCAUAGUCUUUUAAUUAUUGUUUCAUCCAUAAGAUUUGUGCACAACAACUACCCUCAGCAAUGUAUUCAGCUUCAGUGGUUGAUAAGGCUACACAGGCUUGUUUCUUAGAGUUCCAAGAGACUAAGGAACUACCUAAAAAGUGACAGGUUCCACUAGUGCUUUUCCUAUCUAUCUUACAGCCUCCAUAAUCAGCAUCAGAAAAUCCUACAAGACUAGGCUCAACUCCUGAAGGAUACCAUAAACCAAAGGAUGUUGUCCCCUUAAGGUAUUUAAAAAUGCGUUUUACUGCAGUAAGAUGAGACUCUCUAGGGCUUGACUGAUACCUAGCACACACACAUACACUUUGCAUGAUAUCAGGUCUACUAGCAGUAAGAUAUAAUAGAGAGCCAAUCAUAACUCUGUAUUUGGUCUGACUUACCUCUUUACCUGUCUCAUCUUUGUCUAGGUAGGAGGAUGUUCCCAUGGGAGUAGAUGCUUCUUUAGCAUUGUUCAUCUCAAACUUUUUGAGCAUUUCCCUGCAAUACUUGGUUUGAGAUAUAAAGGUUCCUUCCUCCAUUUGUUUGAUUUGAAGUCCGAGGAAGAAAGUAAGUUCUCCCAUCAUUGACAUCUCAAAUUCUCCCUGCAUGGACUUAGCAAAAUUCUCACAAAGAGUUGCGUUAGAUGAACCAAAAAUAAUAUCAUCUACNN
This 3441-nucleotide long non-coding RNA is filed under the name Vigna radiata. RNAcentral describes it as "long non-coding RNA (VRAD_LNC009862)". Lineage: Eukaryota; Viridiplantae; Streptophyta; Magnoliopsida; Fabales; Fabaceae. The record is from RNAcentral.